UACGUAGGUGGCAAGCGUUGUCCGGAUUUACUGGGCGUAAAGAGCGCGCAGGCGGUCGAUCAAGUCGCGUGUGAAAGCCCCCGGCUCAACUGGGGAGGGUCACGCGAUACUGAUCGACUCGAAGGCAGGAGAGGGUAGUGGAAUUCCCGGUGUAGUGGUGAAAUGCGUAGAUAUCGGGAGGAACACCAGUGGCGAAGGCGACUACCUGGCCCGUUCUUGACGCUGAGGCGCGAAAGCUAGGGGAGCAAACGGG
This 253-nucleotide ribosomal RNA is filed under the name uncultured bacterium. Its description in RNAcentral is "partial 16S ribosomal RNA". It matches the Rfam family "Bacterial small subunit ribosomal RNA", at positions 524 to 776 of the family's 1533-position model. The record is from RNAcentral.